UGCGAUACUUGGUGUGAAUUGCAGAAUCCCGCGAACCAUCGAGUUUUUGAACGCAAGUUGCGCCCGAGGCCACCCGGCCGAGGGCACGCCUGCCUGGGCGUCACGCCUCGCGUCGCUCCGCCUACCUCGCCCUGAGCACCCCGUGCUCCUAAGGCGGCGGGAGGCGGAUGCGGA
This 174-nucleotide ribosomal RNA is filed under the name Aloe monticola. RNAcentral's name for it is "5.8S ribosomal RNA". The stretch from base 1 to 103 matches the Rfam family "5.8S ribosomal RNA", at positions 54 to 154 of the family's 154-position model. Rfam says of the family: 5.8S ribosomal RNA (5.8S rRNA) is a component of the large subunit of the eukaryotic ribosome. Lineage: Eukaryota; Viridiplantae; Streptophyta; Magnoliopsida; Asparagales; Asphodelaceae. The record is from RNAcentral.